AAGUACCAAUUCCUAUACCUCUGAAGAUGCAGUAGGUUGGACUGAGGCUGCUUAAAGAAGAGAGGCACCAUAGAAGUCAAGAUUCGGCAAGAAUGGGCAAAAUUGGUCAUUUUUAAUGUCUUUGCUCCAUUCUCGUUACACGAUAAUGAGCAAAGAGAGGCAGCUGUAAUAUCUAAUUUUGCCCCGGGCCCAAUUAAAAAAUAUAAAAACCAAAACAAAUUUAAAUGCCCAAAUUACAAUAAAAAAAUUAAAAACUAAAUACAUUAGCCCAAUAAGGCCCUACCCAAAUAGCCCAAAUAAUAAACCCCUGACCCAAUAAACAAACCCGUUACACUAUGUACAAUACAAACAGCCCAUUAAUCUGCCCCAAAC
Molecule: long non-coding RNA, 372 nt
Filed under: Gossypium raimondii (Peruvian cotton)
Lineage: Eukaryota; Viridiplantae; Streptophyta; Magnoliopsida; Malvales; Malvaceae
Description: long non-coding RNA (GRAI_LNC002882)
Source: RNAcentral